Molecule: unclassified non-coding RNA, 859 nt
Filed under: Hevea brasiliensis (rubber tree)
Lineage: Eukaryota; Viridiplantae; Streptophyta; Magnoliopsida; Malpighiales; Euphorbiaceae
Source: RNAcentral
GCCCGUGCAUCUCCAAGGGACAGCUAUUUAGUAUCAAAGAAAACUUUAUAAGGUAACGACUAACUUUAAAAGUCAGGGUAAAUACAAAUUGAUGUAAUCACAUAAAGAAUUUAAGAACAAUCAUAAAAUGCAAUCAGAUGAGAAUGAGAGAGAGAAUAAAAAGGAGGGGGAGGGGUAGAGGGGCCAAACUUCUAAUUUGGGAUAAUCCACAGAAUAGACCCUUUUUCUGCCACAUAUGCUCAAUUCAACAAUUCCCUGGUUAUGCGCUUGAACUAAGAGCAACUAGUAUGGUCCACCAAGACAUUUCACUCCUAUGCAGUCAAUAAAGCUAGCAUGCCAGGAUGUACCUAAUUCCCAAGAUUAAAAACUCUAUUUUUGUUUUAUCCGAGUUUCCUCCACAAAUUCCUCCUCCCUUCCUCUAAACUCUACAUAAAACCAUUGAUAUGGAUAUCCGCAAUAACCCAUUGACAUCAUGGAUAAACCAUUGCCCUUUCCAGAUGUGACAUGUCCAUAUGUCCCCAGUCAUAAUGUUGUUAUAAUCCAGUAAUAUUAGUUUGUGAUAUAGGAUAUCAAGAGUGUCACAUGUAUACUCUUAAUUAUUCCACCUCAAUUAUUAAAAUUGUCAAUAACUAUUAUAAUUCAAUAAAUUUUUUUAUUUGGAACCAACUUGUCCAAGCAUUUAAACCACACACACACAGAAAAAAAAUAAAAUAAAAUUGCAUGAUUUAUUUAAGUGUAUCAUGGUUAGCAUGCACAAUGAUCUGUUGUAAUACCGUGAUAAUAAAUGUAUAUUAACAUCUAUCUUUCGCGAAACAAUAGCAGAACUUCAAGUGAAAAGGAUACCACUAGAGCUCUGACA